UAAGAUGGCGCCUGACAGAAA
RNAcentral lists this non-coding RNA (21 nucleotides) under Mus musculus (house mouse). The record is from RNAcentral. Lineage: Eukaryota; Metazoa; Chordata; Mammalia; Rodentia; Muridae.